Molecule: transfer RNA, 74 nt
Filed under: Candidatus Beckwithbacteria bacterium CG10_big_fil_rev_8_21_14_0_10_34_10
Lineage: Bacteria; Candidatus Beckwithiibacteriota
Description: tRNA-Gln
Rfam family: tRNA
About the family: Transfer RNA (tRNA) molecules are approximately 80 nucleotides in length. Their secondary structure includes four short double-helical elements and three loops (D, anti-codon, and T loops).
Source: RNAcentral
UGCGGGGUCUUCUAAUGGUAGGAAUAUCGGCUCUGAACCGAUCAAUCGGGGUUCGAAUCCCUGCCCCGCAGCAA